RNAcentral lists this ribosomal RNA (493 nucleotides) under uncultured bacterium. RNAcentral's name for it is "partial 16S ribosomal RNA". It matches the Rfam family "Bacterial small subunit ribosomal RNA", at positions 28 to 507 of the family's 1533-position model. The record is from RNAcentral.
GACGAACGCUGGCGGCGCGCUUAACACAUGCAAGUCGAACGGAAAGGCCUGCUUUCCCUUGUGGAUUGCGGGUACUCGAGUGGCGAACGGGUGAGUAACACGUGAGUGAUCUGCCCCCAACUUGGGUAUAAGCCUGGGAAACUGGGUCUAAUUCCCGAUAGGACUGCAGGGUGGUGCCUGUGGUGGAAAACGAUUUUCUAGUGGUUGGGGAUGAGCUCGCGGCCUAUCAGCUUGUUGGUGGGGUAAUGGCCUCCAAGGCGGCGACGGGUAGCCGGCCUGAGAGGGUGGACGGCCACAUUGGGACUGAGAUACAGCCCAGACUCCUACGGGAGGCAGCAGUGGGGAAUAGUGCACAAUGGGCGGAAGCCUGAUGCAGCGACGCCGCGUGGGGGAUGACGGCCUUCGGGUUGUAAACUCCUUUCGACCGCGAGGAAGCCACCUGGUUGGAAGGGUGGUGACGGUAGUGGUAGAAGAAGCACCGGCUAACUACGUG